This 476-nucleotide ribosomal RNA is filed under the name uncultured bacterium. Its description in RNAcentral is "partial 16S ribosomal RNA". It matches the Rfam family "Bacterial small subunit ribosomal RNA", at positions 29 to 507 of the family's 1533-position model. The record is from RNAcentral.
AUGCACGCUGGCGGCGUGCCUAACACAUGCCAGUCGAACGAAGCACCUUACCUGAUUCUUCGGAUGAAAGUUUGGUGACUGAGUGGCGGACGGGUGAGUAACGCGUGGGUAACCUGCCCUGUACAGGGGGAUAACAGCUGGAAACGGCUGCUAAUACCGCAUAAGCGCACGAGGAGACAUCUCCUUGUGUGAAAAACUCCGGUGGUACAGGAUGGGCCCGCGUCUGAUUAGCUGGUUGGCAGGGUAACGGCCUACCAAGGCAACGAUCAGUAGCCGGUCUGAGAGGAUGAACGGCCACAUUGGAACUGAGACACGGUCCAAACUCCUACGGGAGGCAGCAGUGGGGAAUAUUGCACAAUGGGGGAAACCCUGAUGCAGCAACGCCGCGUGAGUGAAGAAGUAUUUCGGUAUGUAAAGCUCUAUCAGCAGGGAAGAUAAUGACGGUACCUGACUAAGAAGCUCCGGCUAAAUACGUG